ACAAGCUGAGGGGGAGAAACCACAUAUAUGACGUCGACAAGGACCUUGGAUAUGGUGCCAACACCACCCUGUCUCCUCUGGCUGUGGACACAUUUUCCUUGUGGACACCCUAUUAGGUCAUCAACAUGAGGUCACCUCUGUUUACUGUCCCUCUUCAGCCAGCCAAAUCAGCCCAGCCAAGCUAUUUACCCCAGAGGCUGCACACUGGGCACACACACCCAGACAGAGGAAGAAGGAUAGAAAGAAGAUGGAUGAAAAAUGGAGAAAAGCAAGGAAUAAAGAUGAUGAAUUCAAGGAAACAAGAGAGGAGACGUGAAACAAAGAUUAAUUCCCGGCCGACUCCGGAGGAAGGUUCAUUAUCCAGAGCGUUGAAGGAUCUCCAGGUUCCCGACAGCCGGGCAGAUAUGAUGGUCGCGCUAAAGGUCUCGUUACUGCUCCUUGUGAGGAAACUGAGCUGAGGGAGUUUUGUACGCCAAACGACAUCAUUAUAUAAGUGAGCAUGCUGUCAAGGUGGCAGCGGGAGCAGCAUAGAGGUGGUGGUGAUGUAGAGAGGAGGGUACAUUUGUUCUGAGAUUAGCCAGGAGCCAGCUCUCAACUCCUCCGCUGUAGUCUGGAGUUCAUUAGCAGAGCUAUUAUCAAGCCUUGUUCUUCCGCGGAGAUGAACAGCAGCAGCUCUAAUCUAACUGCACUCACUGAAAAUCUAAUACAUCAGAUUUGAAAAUUGUGGCACCCACCCUACAUCAAAUAAGUAUAUCAUAUGUAAAAGGCUCUGGGGAGAAUGGUGCCAGAGUGCUGUUUUGUUGACUAACUAAUAUGAGCUUUUAUCUCCUAGGAACAUUUGAUCUCUCUCCAUAAACAUGUAUGGUUGAGUGGAUCUUAAAUGGGGGUGGAAUAAACAGAUUUCAUUA
Long non-coding RNA from Eleginops maclovinus (Patagonian blennie), 908 nucleotides. RefSeq lists it as uncharacterized. Lineage: Eukaryota; Metazoa; Chordata; Actinopteri; Perciformes; Eleginopidae. The transcript has 3 exons. The record is from RefSeq and is a predicted model, not a curated record.